This 935-nucleotide long non-coding RNA is filed under the name Oryzias javanicus (javanese ricefish). RNAcentral describes it as "lncRNA (ENSOJAG00000020209.1)". The record is from RNAcentral. Lineage: Eukaryota; Metazoa; Chordata; Actinopteri; Beloniformes; Adrianichthyidae.
AGAUUAAGAAUAUGAGUUUGAAUGUUUUGUUUGAAAUAAUAACAACCGUUCCCAUGGCGCAUCGUAAAGUAAACAUGCUUUAUGAGCUGUUGUGGUUAUUACAUUUCGCUGUACAGCAAGUAGACACACAACUGCCGCCAAGAUGAAGCCCCCAAACAAGGAUGCCUAUCAUCUGUCUUUAUUUAAUUGUCAAAAGGAGAAGCAUUAUUCUCUUUAAUGAAGAGGGAAGCUUUUCCGCUUGAGACUGAUAAUCUUUGUUUUUACGUGUAAAUUAUGUGACUUAAACUUUCAAAAGUACUCAACUUUUCUUUCUAAGAUCUAGAACUUCUGAACGUCCAAACGUCUAUGUUUUUUUUAUGUUUUCCAUCACAAAGAACUGUUCUGGAACAAAGCUUAGCUUGCUAAUGUUUGUCGGAGAAUACUACCGGCAGCGAUCGUCAUGACCGAGCAGGGAACUACAUUGAGAGACUGAUGAGGCAGUACCUUGUUGGAUCUAUCUUUACAGCAGCAUGGGGUGUUAUAUAAGGAGUGAUGUAGCCAGGGCUGGAGGAGGAUGUAAGGAUGAUGAAUCCCAAUAUCAAAAUAACAGAACAGCCAAGCGCUCCAGGAUUAGCUCUGUUCAGUCUGCACCAGCAUGAGGAAAAAACCCCAAUUAAUAGAAUCUGCUGGAAUUACUUUGAUCAUGUCAACGGUUGAAAAGUUACAGUAAAUCACAUGAAAACUGGAGCUCCAGUGAUGACAACGUGAAAGCAUUCCAGAGAUGUGGGGCAACUGUCUGAAAGGCAAGAUCACUUCUGGUUUUAAAACAAGUUUUUGGAAUAUUGAACCAGAUUUCACCUCAGAUAAGGAAAACGUAGACGUACAUGGAUCUAUUUGUCUGCAAGUGGAUGCAUAAGAAUGGAGCAGAUGAGCUUGUGGCUCACCGAUUGUAGCGU